AUUGAACGCUGGCGGCAUGCUUUACACAUGCAAGUCGAACGGCAGCGGGGAGGAGCUUGCUUCUCUGCCGGCGAGUGGCGAACGGGUGAGUAAUACAUCGGAACGUGUCGAGAAGAGGGGGAUAACCACCCGAAAGGGUGGCUAAUACCGCAUAAAUUCUGAGGAAGAAAGCUGGGGACCUAGGAAUAGGCCUAGCGCUUUUUGAGCGGCCGAUGUCGGAUUAGCUAGUUGGUGAGGUAAAGGCUCACCAAGGCGAAGAUCUGUAGCGGGUCUGAGAGGAUGAUCCGCCACACUGGGACUGAGACACGGCCCAGACUCCUACGGGAGGCAGCAGUGGGGAAUUUUGGACAAUGGGGGCAACCCUGAUCCAGCCAUGCCGCGUGUAUGAAGAAGGCCUUGGGGUUGUAAAGUACUUUUGUUAGGGAAGAAAAGUCAGCUGUGAAUAAUGGCUGAUACUGACGGUACCUAAAGAAUAAGCACCGGCUAACUACGUG
This 494-nucleotide ribosomal RNA is filed under the name uncultured bacterium. Its description in RNAcentral is "partial 16S ribosomal RNA". It matches the Rfam family "Bacterial small subunit ribosomal RNA", at positions 30 to 507 of the family's 1533-position model. The record is from RNAcentral.